This 497-nucleotide ribosomal RNA is filed under the name uncultured bacterium. Its description in RNAcentral is "partial 16S ribosomal RNA". It matches the Rfam family "Bacterial small subunit ribosomal RNA", at positions 28 to 507 of the family's 1533-position model. The record is from RNAcentral.
GAUGAACGCUGGCAGCGUGCCUAAUACAUGCCAGUCGAGCGAACGGACGAGAAGCUUGCUUCUCUGAUGUUAGCGGCGGACGGGUGAGUAACACGUGGAUAACCUACCUAUAAGACUGGGAUAACUUCGGGAAACCGGAGCUAAUACCGGAUAAUAUUUUGAACCGCAUGGUUCAAAAGUGAAAGACGGUCUUGCUGUCACUUAUAGAUGGAUCCGCGCUGCAUUAGCUAGUUGGUAAGGUAACGGCUUACCAAGGCAACGAUGCAUAGCCGACCUGAGAGGGUGAUCGGCCACACUGGAACUGAGACACGGUCCAGACUCCUACGGGAGGCAGCAGUAGGGAAUCUUCCGCAAUGGGCGAAAGCCUGACGGAGCAACGCCGCGUGAGUGAUGAAGGUCUUCGGAUCGUAAAACUCUGUUAUUAGGGAAGAACAUAUGUGUAAGUAACUGUGCACAUCUUGACGGUACCUAAUCAGAAAGCCACGGCUAACUACGUG